Molecule: long non-coding RNA, 3741 nt
Organism: Myodes glareolus (Bank vole)
Lineage: Eukaryota; Metazoa; Chordata; Mammalia; Rodentia; Cricetidae
Source: RefSeq, a predicted model, not a curated record
CUCUUGUCUGUCUCCUUUCCUUCUGUUUUUUUUGGUUAAUCAGUUAACCUUUACUUUUGAAUUCUUUAGACCUCUCGCAAUCUUUGACCUCUUCCUGCUCCUCUUCGCCUCUCUCCUCCCCCGAGGUUGUGUUACCCAUCAUGGACUUCCACUCACCCUGAGACCGCUUUGCCCUGGGACUAGUACCCCAUGUUGGGCACCAGUUCCUGGCUUCUUUGAGCCUCCAUUUGCCAGGCAAGAAAAGAAUUCUGUACUGAUUUAAGCCUUAUCUUGAACUAAUCCUCCUGGAAUCUACAGAGGAGCUUCACGGCCAUGCCCCAUCUGAGACAGAAGGCACCUGCCUGCCUUGUCAGUCUCCAGCCAUCUCGUCAGCCUUAAGGAAUAGCACAGAGCCAUUGCUAUUGCCUAACUGUGGAAUUGCUCACAGUGCCUGUGUUGAUCCUCUAGAUUUCCUGCUUAUUCACCAAUAUUUAAGGAUCUGUCACUGACCAAGAACCCUCCACGUGGAUUUCAGGAAUUCCUGCCUCCCCAGCUCUGGCAUCACAAGCGAAGUCACCAUGUCUGCUUCCCCCUCCCCCCCACCUCCCACUGCCUGCCACCGCAUGGUUUCUAAGGGUCAAAUUCCGAGCCUUAUGCUUGCAAGGCUGGCAGUUCAUGCAUAAAGCCAUCUUCUGCUAGAAUACAUCUGUUACAUGGUGUUAAAUAAGUUAAUAUGUAUAAAGGCCCAUAACAAUUUUUCAAGAAAAACUGUGAUUCUGCUCAUGUUAAUGGUAGCUGCCCUAGAACACACAUACCAUUACCAAUUAAGGAAGGUAACAUGAAUUCAAUUUUGUGCCUUUGAAUUGGCACAAAAGAAUGUAAACAGCAGAGACCAUUGCUCACUGUCAAAAAUGUUGACAAAGAACUUGAACAGGUGUCUGAAAACUUGCCCCUUCACCUAUAAAUGGAUAAAAUACUGCUGGUUCCUCUGAUGGUGUAUCCAGUAGAGAGAGAGUUAAGGCCUUGUGAUGUAGUUCUCAGAGUGUAUGGAUACCACAGGUCCAGACCCCUGGACUUUGCAAAGUUUCAGUUUUGUAUUUGCCUCUGGCCACUGAAGUAGACUGUGCAAGAUAGUCACUUUGUCCGUUUUCUCACUUGCAAAACGGGCAUAACAACAAUAGCACUGGCCUGGUGGGAAUAAUUAAAGGACUGAAAGUACUUAGAACUAUGCCUGUUAAGUAGCAAGUACUUAGUAAUUUUAAUUUAUUACUGUUUACUACUAAGAUGGAAGGUGCCCUAGCAGCCCAAGGAAGAAAACAUUUUAGCCCAGCAGAACCAAGAAAAUCUUCAUGGAAAAGCUUAUAGCUCAAAAGCAAGUUUUGAUCGAUUAGUAGUUCCCCGGGGAAUGGGAUUCUGUAUGGCCCUGCAGGUUUUGUGGUUAUGUUUUGUUUGCGUUAUUUAUUUAUUUGUUCCAAAAACGCAACAGAUAAAAAUCUAUCCCUUCUUUGAGUGACAAUAUGCAGCACAAAUCACCCGCCCGCUGAAUUUCUCAAUGCUCCUGCAACUACAGUGUUUAAAUGAGCUGAAAUGCAUUUGACAUUACUGCAGCUUUAAGGAUGCAUGAGCUCUGUGUCACCCCAGAAGUCAGCCCCUGCUCACCUCACUUGUCACACGCCAUUAGCAGUAUCCCUGGGCGAGGGACCUAGGGUUAAAGGUUAAGUUUAGAAGCCAUCUUGUCAUUUUUCUGCUUGCAAUGGUUGGAUGCAGACUGAGAAUUCAUUAAAUAUUUAAUUUUGUUUGGUUUGCUUCAGGGUAAAGGCUAAAAGAACUCUGGCUGAUGUGUUGUUGAUUCCCCCCUCUGUUCACCUGUAAUUUUUCUUGAUCUUCAACGGAAGGAUCCUUUCUUUAGGUGCAUAAUUAUUUCUGGAACUUGACUAUUACACACUUUAAAGAAAGUGUUUGGAAAUGCUACUCACAGAACAAACCUAGCAAGAGCUUGGUGCAGACCCUUGCGGGUCCCAGAGCACAGCUAACCUGAACUCUGGGUUAGAUUCCUUCUAAACAGACUUAUUUAUAAAGCUCCUGCUAUUUUCUUUUGCUGGGCAUCUGCUGGACAAGGCAGCAAGGCCACUUAUGGAGUGAGGAAAGUUCCUUUUAUCAAUGUCCCUAGGGCAUAGUUCUACAAGGACUGGAGAGCAUCUGGGUAGACAUUUCUCCUUAGGUGCCUUUCUGUUUGGUGGAGAAAAGCACUUUCCUUCGACCGUGUGUGUCAGAGCUCCUUGUCAACACUGAGAAAAUAGGCUUUUAGCGCUGACCAGUUCACCCUUCUGGAACAUUCCUCUUCUUUUAAGCAACCAUAGAAAUACCAGGACCAGAGGAGGCACAGGGCACCUUUUCUUUGUCUGAGUCUUCAGACAAGGGAAGGUAACUGGAGCUUCCUCCAACACUGGCCCCUCCAGAGGAAUGACCAAUUUGCAGGGCGACUGCUGCCGUCUCCACACUCUCUCCUCUCAUUUGUGGGUUGCUGAAGACACUGCUUUGCUCUGACAUCACACUUGAAUCUCUCCAACUGUGCCAGAAAGCUCCAAGGAAUGAAAGAUCGGCAGUUCCUUCAAAGCCACUGGCAUUCCCAGCCAGUAUUUCUUCUUCUUACACCGUUCUGUCCAUCUUCUGUUAGAAAAGAACAGUUGGCUUAUAUGCAACCAGCCCCUGGGAAAUCCUGCAGGAACUCUCGAGGUUUCUUCACAUGUUUGGAAGCCCAUUGAGGGGAGGGAAAUGCAAGGCUGACUACAGGUUAGAGGGUGACUGUGCUAGGAUGAGUGUGGGGGAAAGUCAGGAGACAAACGUUUUUCUCACUGUGUUCUUCUAGUGCAUGUUGGGGUUGUCAUGUGGGGACCAAGUGUUUAAACACAAACUCUUGCCUGAGGGGACAUUCACAUCCAAAUCACAACAGGCUUGUAGUAUUUUGCCAGAAUGAGGUUAACAGGGUGAUGGCUCCUUUUAGUUUGGAAUUUCAAAAUGGUAUGGCAACAUUUGCUUCUUCCAGGCCAUUUGUGAUAGAAGUUCAGAAAGGAGGAAGAAUGUGGAGAGCAUGUUUUAUAACAGAAACAUUGUAUCUAUUCAUUGAAACCCAAUCCAAAGGGCAUCUGAAGUGGAUUUUCCCCUUGAUUACAGUCAUAAAAUGAUGACUGUACUGGGUCAUUGAAUGUGGAGCAGCAGAAGUUGGAGUAGGCUAGAGUGACUGAAUGUUGUCCGGGUAGAUGUCAACUUCUUCUCUUGGCUAAAAUAUGUUUUGAGGUGCAGGAUUAGAGAAAUAACUCUGCCUCACUAGCUUUUGGGUGUGAUUUUAGUUAGCACCUAGUACUGUAAUUUCCUUGAGGGUACUGGUCAGGCAAGCAUGCGCUUUAGUUGCAGGCGGAAGGAUGAAAGGUGGGGAGAAGGAUGAGGUACCUGGGCUCAUUCAGACGAAGGAAACCAAGAUGCGGAAGGGGAUUCCCGGCUGUGGAAAGCAGGCUGAAGUUAGAGGCUGCUGAAACUGGAGGAAGGUAACUAUUAGGUGAUACAGCACCUGCCUUCAGACACCUUAAGGCUCUCACUGGACGUGUGGAAGACAGAAACAUACAGUCUUCCGGGGUGGAAUUUGACUGACAGGUGGAAGCUCACAGGAAGGUUACAGCAUUUUAAAAACUGAUCUGUCAAGGGAUGGCAAGAUGGUUCAACAGGUAAGGACUUGAUUAUCUGCAUUUGAUCCCUGGGACCCAC